This 19-nucleotide non-coding RNA is filed under the name Arabidopsis thaliana (thale cress). Lineage: Eukaryota; Viridiplantae; Streptophyta; Magnoliopsida; Brassicales; Brassicaceae. The record is from RNAcentral.
CAGCCAUGUGGUGAGCACA